CCCAUUGUUACACACACCGCUCGCACGCCACCCCUAUAGAAAAGAUCAUUGGCGAAAACGUCGACGCCAUGGAGAGCUCGCUCGGUGCUUCCGAUAUGACACCACGUGAACUUUUUCCGCUCAGUCCAUUAACGUCCUCUGCCAGUUGCUUCACUGAUUCACUCAGAAAAGCAAGACGUUAACAAGCUCGCCUCAGCGCACCCUCAGGCACUCACUGUUCGGGGACCAUAGACGGUGUGUCCGUCUCCUGGAAUCACUUCCCGUGGGAAACUGAGCUCUCUACGAGCGUGGAAGUGCUCCGGCGAAACAGAGCGCGCGGAAGGCGACAGCCCCGGCGCGCACGCAUCAUUAGGCCUAACAGACGAAAAUGGCGGCGCCAGUAAGGCGCUAACUCGACGCCUCUCCCUUUCCCACCCGCAUUGGCGACAGCACCCACGUCUUCACCUCACGGCGACGGCGAUUUGGCGAGGUGAAACAGACUCGACGCUGCGGGUUCCGGUACUUCGGCUUCGUUGAGGACGAAUGGCGGCCUGGUGCAAAGCGCGGCGGAAGAUCACAGCUGGGAAGCGGCCGUGCUUCUGUAUAGUGCCCCCGACACUUCUCCCUUGGCAGACCGGACACGCACCCCUGUUUGCGACGACCGGGGUCAGCGAUUGUGUUUCAGACGCACGGGGCCGGCCUCUUUCCCGGCAAAAGAACCGCGCCGAAGCGGAGGAAAGGGACAAAAUGGCUGCGCUCGUCAAAAAAUUGUUUCCACGGAAGAAACAAUUUAGCCUUAAUCGUCCGUCGAGAACGAAUGCCUCCAGCAGUGCGAUGCAUAGGCCAUGCGGCAUGUGCAACUGGGUGUGUGACCAAUCCUCCAGAAUGGGUGUUUGUGCAACUGCGGCACAGGAGGGUUCAACCACGAUACAUA
Dermacentor albipictus is the source of this 913-nucleotide non-coding RNA. The record is from RefSeq and is a predicted model, not a curated record. Lineage: Eukaryota; Metazoa; Arthropoda; Arachnida; Ixodida; Ixodidae.